AGCGAACGUUAGCGGCGCGCCUAACACAUGCAAGUCGCACGAGAAGGGGGCAACCCCUGAAAGUGGCGCACGGGUGCGUAACACGUAGAUAACCUGCCCUUCGCAGGGGGAUAACGUUCCGAAAGGAGCGCUAAUACCGCGUACAGCAUUCUGGGGUUAGCCUUGGGAUGACAAAGGCUGGGAUUCGCAAGAACCAGUCGGCGAAGGAGGGGUCUGCGGCCCAUCAGCUAGUUGGUGAGGUAAUGGCUCACCAAGGCGAAGACGGGUAGCUGGUCUGAGAGGAUGAUCAGCCACACUGGUACUGGAACACGGACCAGACUCCUACGGGAGGCAGCAGUGGGGAAUCUUGGUCAAUGGGCGAAAGCCUGAACCAGCGACGCCGCGUGAGUGAUGAAGGCCUUCGGGUUGUAAAGCUCUGUGGGGCGAGACGAAAGCCUACGUUCUAACAGGACGUAGUUUGACGGUAUCGCCUUAGCAAGCACCGGCUAACUCUGUGCCAGCAGCCGCCGUAA
Molecule: ribosomal RNA, 512 nt
Filed under: uncultured bacterium
Lineage: Bacteria
Description: partial 16S ribosomal RNA
Rfam family: Bacterial small subunit ribosomal RNA
Source: RNAcentral